CCAGGUGUCAGGUUUGGUGGCCUGAGAAAGUGAAAGGAGAGUGCAAUCCCUCCCACCUGCCCUGAGCCCCGGACUGCUGCAAGGUACAAAGCGCCAGGGUCUUACUCUGUCACCCAGGCUGAAGUGCAGUGGCACCAUCAUGGCUCACUGUAGCCUCGACCUCCUGGUUUCAAGCAAUCCUCCUGCCUCAGCCUCCUGAGAAUCUGGGACCACAGCUGGCCUGGGAGUUGUUAGUUGAGAGAACAUCUAACAUCUAACAACUAAAGGAGGAUACAGAUCUUAAAGACGGGGUCUCCUAUGUUGCCAAGGCUGGAGUGCAGUGGCUAUUCACAGGCACGAUCCCACUACUGAUCAGCACUGGAGUUUUGACCUGCUCCGUUUCUGACCUAGGCUGGUUCACCCCUCCUUAGGCAAACUGGUGGUCCCCUGCUCCCAGGAGGUCACCAUAUUUUUUUUUUGAGAAGGAGUUUCACUCUUGUUACCCAGGCUGGAGUGCAAUGGUGUGAUCUCGGCUCACCGCAACAUCUGCCUCCUGGGUUCAGGCAAUUCUCCUGCCUCAGCCUCCUGAGUAGCUGAGACUACAGGCACGCGCCACCAUGCCCAGCUAAUUUUUUGUAUUUUUAGUUGAGACGGGGUUUCACCAUGUUGACCAGGAUGGUCUCGAUCUGUUGACCUCGUGAUCCACCCGCCUCGGCCUCCCAAAGUGCUAGAUUACAGGCUUGAGCCACCACGCCCGGCAGGAGGUCACCAUAUUGAUGCCAAACGUAGUGCAGACAUCCGAUCGGCAUAGCGCACUACAGCCCAGAACUCCUGGGCUCAAGCGAUCCUCCCACCUCAGCCUCCCCAGUAGCUGGA
Long non-coding RNA from Callithrix jacchus (white-tufted-ear marmoset), 855 nucleotides. RefSeq lists it as uncharacterized. Lineage: Eukaryota; Metazoa; Chordata; Mammalia; Primates; Cebidae. The record is from RefSeq and is a predicted model, not a curated record.